GACAGAGGAUGCAAGCGUUAUCCGGAAUGAUUGGGCGUAAAGCGUCUGUAGGUGGCUUUUUAAGUCCGCCGUCAAAUCCCAGGGCUCAACCCUGGACAGGCGGUGGAAACUACCAAGCUGGAGUACGGUAGGGGCAGAGGGAAUUUCCGGUGGAGCGGUGAAAUGCGUAGAGAUCGGAAAGAACACCAACGGCGAAGGCAGUGUCCUGGGGAGUACCUGACGCUCAGGUGCGAAAGCCAGGGGAGCGAACGGG
This 253-nucleotide ribosomal RNA is filed under the name uncultured bacterium. RNAcentral's name for it is "partial 16S ribosomal RNA". It matches the Rfam family "Bacterial small subunit ribosomal RNA", at positions 524 to 776 of the family's 1533-position model. The record is from RNAcentral.